This 336-nucleotide unclassified non-coding RNA is filed under the name uncultured fungus. RNAcentral's name for it is "partial contains 5.8S ribosomal RNA and internal transcribed spacer 2". The stretch from base 1 to 133 matches the Rfam family "5.8S ribosomal RNA", at positions 22 to 154 of the family's 154-position model. Lineage: Eukaryota; Fungi. The record is from RNAcentral.
UGGCUCUCGCAUCGAUGAAGAACGCAGCGAAAUGCGAUAAGUAAUGUGAAUUGCAGAAUUCAGUGAAUCAUCGAAUCUUUGAACGCACCUUGCGCUCCUCGGUCCUCCGAGGAGCACGCCCGUUCGAGUAUCACGUUAACCUCUUGACCUCGGUAGAAAUACUGAGGUCGAGGAUUUGGGUGUUGCCGGCCCUAAGGUCGGCUCGCCUCGAAAUGCAUUAGUGGGGACCUGCCCUGCGCGGUGUUGAUAAUUGUCUACGUCGUGCUGGUCUCGGCUCUGCUCACAACCACCACAUUCAACAAGUUUGAUCUCGAAUCGGGCGGGACUACCCGCUGA